Molecule: ribosomal RNA, 443 nt
Filed under: uncultured bacterium
Lineage: Bacteria
Description: bacterial SSU rRNA
Rfam family: Bacterial small subunit ribosomal RNA
Source: RNAcentral
GCUUAACGCGAAGAACCUUACCUGGGCUCGAACGGCGGACGACGUCUCUUAGAAAUAGGAGAGUUUCCUUCGGGAACGGCCGUCGAGGUGCUGCAUGGCUGUCGUCAGCUCGUGUCGUGAGAUGUUGGGUUAAGUCCCGCAACGAGCGCAACCCUUGUCCUGUGUUGCUAAUCUUCGGAUGCACUCUCAGGAGACCGCCAGCGACAAGCUGGAGGAAGGGUGGGGAUGAUGUCAAGUCAGCAUGGUCCUUUAUGUCCGAGGGCUACACACGUGCUACAAGUGGCGAGGACAGACCGUUGACAAACCCGCGAGGGGGAGCUAAUCGGAGAAACCUGUUCUCAGUUCGGAUUGCAGGCUGCAACUCGCCUGCAUGAAGCUGGAAUCGCUAGUAAUGGCAGAUCAGCAUGCUGCCGUGAAUACGUUCCCGGGUCUUGUACACACCG